UUUUCGAUUUUGUUUUUCUAAUAAGGUUUGGAUUUUUGAGUUGUGAAUUAUUGUUUUUGAGCUAAGUUUGAAGGGUCUAAUAGAUUUGAUAUUUGAGUUGUUUAUAGUACUAAACAUUAUAAACAUCUUUAGCACUUGUUGUUAAUUUCAUUAUAUUGGUAUUAAUUUUCUUUAGCUCAAUUUACAUUUUAGUUUGGAAUUUUAGUUUCAAAUUAAACAAAAGAAAAGUUUUUUAUUAAAUGGGUUAUUCGAGUCGGUUGUGUUAGGGUGGUGGAUUAGUUUUACGUGUUGUGUUUGUGUUGGCCUGUAUAGUUGAAUACUUAUUAUUCGACACGGGGACACGAACAAAUUCAAGUUUCAAAGUAAACAAAGAAAGGUUUUAUUAAAUGGGUUAUUCGAGUCGGUUGUGUUAGGGUCGAGGGAUUAGUAAACGUGUGGUGUUUGUGUUGGCCUAUACAUGAACACAACAUGAGAACAUGAAUUGCUGCCCCGAUUUAGGAGUAUCUUAUAGUUUCACUUGUUUCAAUUCAAAUUUUAUAGGAUUGAUUUGGAGCUAAUGAAAUUAUGGGGUUUAAUUUGUAAUGUUCUUAAACUAUGGCGUUUGAUUUGAAACUGCCCAUAAAAUAUAGAGGAGUGUUACGUCCACAACAUUUUCACAACAAAUCAUAUAUGGUAAGUUGUUAUUAGUUCUAAUUUGAAUCUACAACUUAAGUUACUUUUUUGCCCACCCAUAACAACCAAUAUAACCCACCACUUAGGAUUUGUUGUGAAAAUGUUGUGGACAUAGCAUUUCUCUAAAAUAUAAGGAUUAAAAUACAACUUUCCAUUUUGUUUAUGUUAUCUUCACAUUAUUACAAAUUUUCUCCUUAUUUUCUAGGUGUCUUAAUAUGUUUUGUGCCUGUGUGUGUGUGUGUGUGUGUGUUUAUAUAUAUUUCAAUUGUGGUACAAUUGCUAAAGAUCUUAGACCAUUAGAUUGGAAGAAGAGUCAUGCAAAUGUGAAAAAAGUAUAAUGGUUGUUUUCUUUUUUAGUGUGCAAGGCCAGUGGUUUGUCAUAGAAGACAUUGUACUUUGUGGAUGUGAUGUGCAGUGUUGUUUGUAAAAUAGAUACUCACCUUAUAAUUUGGAAGGUUCUUAAUAUUGACGUUGCUAUAGUAAGUAUGAUUCUGGUUAUAGAUGUGUCUGAUUUAUUCAAUUUCAUGCUUAAUUCAGAAG
Long non-coding RNA from Quercus robur (English oak), 1212 nucleotides. RefSeq lists it as uncharacterized. The record is from RefSeq and is a predicted model, not a curated record. The transcript has 2 exons. NCBI's taxonomy places the organism in Eukaryota, Viridiplantae, Streptophyta, Magnoliopsida, Fagales, Fagaceae.